This is a long non-coding RNA of Lucilia cuprina (Australian sheep blowfly), 346 nucleotides long. RefSeq lists it as uncharacterized. The transcript has 3 exons. The record is from RefSeq and is a predicted model, not a curated record. Lineage: Eukaryota; Metazoa; Arthropoda; Insecta; Diptera; Calliphoridae.
AAUAAAAUUAUUUUGAAAAAUCAAGAAAAUUUGAAAUAGAAAUAAAAAGCAAAAAUACAAAGAAAACUGAAAAUGGAAGGAAAUAAAAUACAAGAACUUUCCAAGGAAGGCGCCAGUAAUUUCCAAAAUCAAACGGAAAAUAUUAGUUCAACUGAAAUGAAGUCAACAAAUAAAGCUGUUAAUGUUAAUAUGGUUGGCUGCUACUGAAAAUUCUGGAACAAAGGAACAACAAAAUGGGCCACAAUAAUAUUUGGAAAUUCAUUAUUAUUGAGGACGAUCAAAAUCUUUUAGCUGUGCGCUCCAAAUUAUACGCAAUAUCAUUAGUAAUGGGGUAUAAUAUAUUCUA